UACGUAGGGUGCAAGCGUUAAUCGGAAUUACUGGGCGUAAAGCGUGCGCAGGCGGUUUUGUAAGUCUGUCGUGAAAUCCCCGGGCUCAACCUGGGAAUUGCGAUGGAGACUGCAAGGCUAGAAUCUGGCAGGAGGGGGGUAGAAUUCCACGUGUAGCAGUGAAAUGCGUAGAGAUGUGGAGGAACACCGAUGGCGCAAGGCAGCCCCCUGGGUCAAGAUUGACGCUCAUGCACGAAAGGCGUGGGGAGCAAACGAGG
This 257-nucleotide ribosomal RNA is filed under the name uncultured bacterium. RNAcentral describes it as "partial 16S ribosomal RNA". It matches the Rfam family "Bacterial small subunit ribosomal RNA", at positions 524 to 777 of the family's 1533-position model. The record is from RNAcentral.